This 2518-nucleotide long non-coding RNA is filed under the name Sus scrofa (pig). RNAcentral's name for it is "lncRNA (ENSSSCG00045004055.1)". The record is from RNAcentral. Lineage: Eukaryota; Metazoa; Chordata; Mammalia; Artiodactyla; Suidae.
UUUUUUUUUUUUUUUUUUUUGCUUUUUAGGGCUGCACCUGUGGCAUAUGGAGGUUCCCAGGCUAGGGGUCCAAUCAGAGCUAUCGCUGCCAGCUAUGCCAGAGCCAUAGCAACGCAGGAUCCGAGCUGUGUCUGUGACCUACACCACAGCCCACGGCAAUGCCAGAUCCUUAACCCACUGAGUAAGGCCAGGGAUCAAACCCACAUGGUUCCUAGUCAGAUUCGUUUCUGUUGCACUACAACAGGAACUCCAGAAAAAUUUUGAAAAUACUGAAAAGCACAUGUGGGCACACAUACGCAAAUAAAUAGACACCAUCAUUUUCGACAUUUGUUGCACGGAGUUCCACCCUUUUUCUAAAUGCAUAACAUACAAAUAUUUUCCACAUUCUUUUAUAAACAGGGACUACUUUACAACAAGCUCUUUUCCAUUUACUGAUAUUUCAUUAUUCCAGAUUCCUCCUGGUCUGCCCCCACUGAAAUGGACUGGCCGGAGACAAAUGUUUACUGCCUCAGCCUGAUUUGAUAAGGGGCCUGCACACUAAGCAGAUUGUCUUCUUCCAGGGAAAGUUUUCUAGGCUAAUUCAGGGAUGAUGUGUAAUUGAGAUAAAUGCCGCCCCCCUCUGUGUCUUCCCACAGUGUCAUUAAACUGUCCCCAGAGGCACGCUUGUGUGCAUACGGUGGGGAGGGACGAGUCUUUUUCCCCCACACAGCCCCUGACUUAUCUAGUACCUCAGCUUUGUUUUAUGCAACAACCCAGCAGCUGUAAGGCUUAGGGCAUUUGGAAGCUACCUGAGGAAGCUCCCUUCAUUAAGUGCUCUGAGGGCUGUUCUCAGCUAGACUCAGAACUCACUUCUGGGCCUUCAGGCAAUGUGUUUGACUCAGAUGACUGUAAGCUAAAAAGAGCUAUUCAUAAAACUGCUGCCUUUUAAGGCUAACCCAGGCCAUGGGGCUCCUUGGUCCCCAGAGCUGGAGAUCAGUGACUAUGGAAACCACCCAGUAUCACACAUCUGCUGCUCAGGGUCCGUGACCUCUCCCACCUGAGACGUUUGCCCAGCACUGUGGUCCAGGAAGGUAACUGCUUGGAUAGAGGGUAACUUGAGCAGAUGUAUGAGCUGAGCUGUGCUCUAACAUAGCAGCGGUGUGCAGGACUCACUGGAACCAAGAGGGCUUUCAGGAAGGGGCCACUUGGACAGCCACAGGAAUGGUCCAGCUAUAGGUUUACCCAGGGGAGGACUGAAUGGAAAGGUAAGGGGCCUCUUCGGGAGAUUUCCUUUCCUUUAUUGUCUUUAUAUUAUUCAAUACCAUACAUGUUCAUUGAAGAAAAUCUAGAAGGUAUGUAAAAGCAAAAAUGGAAAAGAAAAAUCACAACUUCACCACUUAGACAUAAACUUGUUAAUGGCGAUGUGGGGUCUUCUGACCUCCCAGUGUGUAGGGGAAAGUGGCACAUGCUAUGCAUUAGUGAAUAUAACAUACCAGUUGUAACCUGUGUUUAUUUACUUAAUCAUAGGGAAGACAUCCUCCUCUUAAAUGUUCCAACCUGCUGAAGUCGGACAAGAUGGACAGGUGAUGCCUUCCACUCUUACAAAUCUUCCUUCUCUACCGUCUCUGGUUCCUCCUCUCCAGGGCUCCACCCUCAGGCAGCUGUCAACUCAUCUCUGCUAAAGUGCUACCCUACUUGGAGCUGUUUGUGUUUUACAAGACACUCUUACAAGCAGAAUAUGAUCUUCACAUACCCCAAGUUAGUUACUAAAGGCAGAAUAUCUGGGCAGGAAACUAUCUGGGGUUUCUCAGAACAGUCUACCAUGUCAACUCUUUGGUAGAAAAGAAAUCUGAAGAUAAUGGGAAUAUCUUGUGACUUUGGAGGGAUGGGUAUGGACAUGCCUAGGUUUCUCCUAGAGCUAACAGGAUAGUAAAAGCUAAUCCACUGAUGCAUUAAGAUCUGCUGAUAAUAGAGGAAUACUUAAGAGAAGGACCCACUCACAGCUUGAGGUACCAGUAAACACAUGGAUUUGAAGUCAUGGGAUCAUGGGUUAAAAUUCUGGCUCUGGAAAUUUCUAGCUGUGUGACCCAGCACAAGCUGUUAGCAACUGGGUGCCCAACACACCACCUGUAAAGGGAGAGAGCACACCUCCCUCAUAGAGGUGUUAUAAGAAUUAAAAUGGGGAGUUCCUGUCGUGGCUCACUGGUUAGCAAACACGACUAGCAUCCAUGAGGACACAGGUUUGAUCCCUGGCCUCACUCAGUGAGUUAAGGACCCGGCGUUGCCAUGAGCUGUGGUGUAGGUUGCAGAUGCAGCUUGGAUCUGGUGUGGCUAUGGCUGAGGCAUAGGCCAGCAGCUGCAGCUCCAAUUUGACCCCUGGCCUGGGAAUUUCCAUAUGUCUUAGGCGUGGCCCUGAAAGGACAAUAAUAAUAAUAAUAAUUUGCUUUACAAAGACUCAAUCAGUCAACAGGUAUUUAUUGGGUGUCUACUAUGUGCCAGGCACAGUACCAGGUCUUGGGUACACAGAGGUGAAUAAGUU